Molecule: ribosomal RNA, 434 nt
Filed under: uncultured bacterium
Lineage: Bacteria
Description: bacterial SSU rRNA
Rfam family: Bacterial small subunit ribosomal RNA
Source: RNAcentral
GACGAACGCUGGCGGCGUGCUUAAUACAUGCAAGUCAACUGAACUUGAGAUAGCAAUAUUUUAAGGGAGGUGGCGCACGGGUGAGUAACACGUAGGUAAUCUGCCUUUAGGUCUGACACAAUCCCGAGAAAUCGGGGCUAAUAUCAGAUGAUGCAGCGGCUCGACAUCGAGACAGUUGUUAAACCUUCGGGGCCUAGAGAUGAGCCUGCGUCUGAUUAGGUAGUUGGCGGAGUAAAAGCCCACCAAGCCUGCGAUCAGUAGCUGGUCUGAGAGGAUGAUCAGCCACACUGGAACUGAGACACGGUCCAGACUCCUACGGGAGGCAGCAGUAAGGAAUAUUGCUCAAUGGCCGAAAGGCUGAAGCAGCAACGCCGCGUGGAGGAUGAAAUACUUUUGUAUGUAAACUCCUGUAAGAGGGAAAAUAUUCCGAUUUA